UACGUAGGGGGCAAGCGUUGUCCGGAUUCAUUGGGCGUAAAGAGCGUGUAGGCGGCCAGGUAGGUCGGUUGUGAAAACUGGAGGCUCAACCUUCAGAGGUCGACCGAAACCAUCUGGCUAGAGUCCGGGAGAGGAGAGUGGAAUUCCUGGUGUAGCGGUGAAAUGCGUAGAUAUCAGGAGGAACACCGGUGGUGUAGACGGCUUUCUGGACCGUAACUGACGCUGAGACACGAAAGCGUGGGUAGCAAACAGG
Molecule: ribosomal RNA, 253 nt
Filed under: uncultured bacterium
Lineage: Bacteria
Description: partial 16S ribosomal RNA
Rfam family: Bacterial small subunit ribosomal RNA
Source: RNAcentral